AUUGAACGCUGGCGGCAUGCCUUACACAUGCAAGUCGAACGGUAACGGGCCUUCGGGUGCCGACGAGUGGCGAACGGGUGAGUAAUGCAUCGGAACGUACCUUUCAGUGGGGGAUAACGUAGCGAAAGUUACGCUAAUACCGCAUAUUCUGUGAGCAGGAAAGCAGGGGAUCGCAAGACCUUGCGCUGAUUGAGCGGCCGAUGUCAGAUUAGCUAGUUGGUGAGGUAAAGGCUCACCAAGGCGACGAUCUGUAGCGGGUCUGAGAGGAUGAUCCGCCACACUGGAACUGAGACACGGUCCAGACUCCUACGGGAGGCAGCAGUGGGGAAUUUUGGACAAUGGGGGCAACCCUGAUCCAGCCAUGCCGCGUGAGUGAAGAGGGCC
Molecule: ribosomal RNA, 384 nt
Filed under: uncultured bacterium
Lineage: Bacteria
Description: bacterial SSU rRNA
Rfam family: Bacterial small subunit ribosomal RNA
Source: RNAcentral